RNAcentral lists this ribosomal RNA (532 nucleotides) under uncultured bacterium. Its description in RNAcentral is "bacterial SSU rRNA". It matches the Rfam family "Bacterial small subunit ribosomal RNA", at positions 791 to 1325 of the family's 1533-position model. The record is from RNAcentral.
UAGUCCACGCCGUAAACGAUGAUCACUCGUUGUUGGCGAUAUAAAGUCAGCGACCAAGUGAAAGUGUUAAGUGAUCCACCUGGGGAGUACGCCCGCAAGGGUGAAACUCAAAGGAAUUGACGGGGGCCCGCACAAGCGGUGGAACAUGUGGUUUAAUUCGAUGAUACGCGAGGAACCUUACCUGGGCUUAAAUGUAGACCGAUUUUACGGGAAACCGUAUUUCCCUUCGGGGCGUUUUACAAGGUGCUGCAUGGUUGUCGUCAGCUCGUGCCGUGAGGUGUCGGGUUAAGUCCCAUAACGAGCGCAACCCUUAUCGUUAGUUGCCAGCGGGUCAUGCCGGGGACUCUAACGAAACUGCCGGUGUAAACCGAGAGGAAGGUGGGGAUGACGUCAAAGUCAGCACGGCCCUUAAUGUCCAGGGCUACACACGUGUUACAAUGGUUGGUACAGAGGGCAGCUACCGGGCAACCGGGUGCCAAUCUCGAAAGCCAAUCUCAGUUCGGAUUGGAGUCUGCAACUCGACUCCAUGAAG